UGGGGAAUCUUAGACAAUGGGGGAAACCCUGAUCUAGCCAUGCCGCGUGAGCGAUGAAGGCCUUAGGGUUGUAAAGCUCUUUCAGCUGGGAAGAUAAUGACGGUACCAGCAGAAGAAGCCCCGGCUAACUCCGUGCCAGCAGCCGCGGUAAUACGGAGGGGGCUAGCGUUGUUCGGAAUUACUGGGCGUAAAGCGCACGUAGGCGGAUUAGUCAGUCAGAGGUGAAAUCCCAGGGCUCAACCCUGGAACUGCCUUUGAUACUGCUAGUCUUGAGGUCGAGAGAGGUGAGUGGAAUUCCGAGUGUAGAGGUGAAAUUCGUAGAUAUUCGGAGGAACACCAGUGGCGAAGGCGGCUCACUGGCUCGAUACUGACGCUGAGGUGCGAAAGCGUGGGGAGCAAACAGGAUUAGAUACCCUGUAGUCCACGCCGUAAACGAUGAAUGCCAGUCGUCGGGUUGCAUGCAAUUCGGUGACACACCUAACGGAUUAAGCAUUCCGCCUGGGGAGUACGGUCGCAAGAUUAAAACUCAAAGGAAUUGACGGGGUCAUAGCUGUUUCCUG
Molecule: ribosomal RNA, 560 nt
Filed under: uncultured bacterium
Lineage: Bacteria
Description: partial 16S ribosomal RNA
Rfam family: Bacterial small subunit ribosomal RNA
Source: RNAcentral